CCUGAAACGGGUGUGGAUGCGAGCUUCCCACAGGACUUAUAUGCCUCUCUUCAUUCUCCAAAAUAUGUUUCUCUGUGUUAUGGGCUGAACUUUGGGCUCCUCCAAAUUCGUAUGUUGAAGUGCUACAGCACCUUAGAAUGUGACUGUUUUUGCAGAUAGGGCCUUUAAAGAGGUAAUUAAGUAAACAUGAGGUCAUCCAUGUGGGCCGUAAUCCAAUAAGCUUGGUGUCUUUGUAAGAAGGGGAGAUUAGAACACAGGGAGAGACACCAGACAGAUGCAGCCCAGAGAGAUGAGCAUGUAACACACAGCAAGAAUGCAGCCACCAGGCAAGCCAAGGAGAGAGCCUUCAGAAGAAACCAACCCUGCCGACACCUUGACCUCAGACUUCCAGCCUCUAAAACGAUUGAAGACAAUGCUGAUCAUACUAUCAACCAUGAAGGACUGUGCUGAGGAUUGAAUGAGAAUACAUUCAGGCCACGGAACACAGUGUGUAUAUAUUACACAUGCUCCAAAAAGGCUAGCUGCUACUAUGAAGUUGGAUAAAUUGACUCAGGAAAGGGCAGAAUGAACUUGAUAUUGUGACUGUACAUUUCAGAGAGGCCCCAAAGAGCAAAUAUUCAGAUCACAGCAUUCACUCCCGGAAUAAGCAUAUUCGAAAACCCUUUCUUUGUCAAGCACGAUACGUGGAGGGAGACUCAUUCUGUUUCAGAAAGCUGAGAGUUAAGUGGCCAAGAUAACCCCAAAAGACAAUCCUAAUAGAUGUGGUGGACACAACAGCAGAAAUAUGGCCACAGGUGUCACAUUUCCAGAGAGAGGCUGAUGAUUGC
RNAcentral lists this long non-coding RNA (827 nucleotides) under Homo sapiens (human). RNAcentral's name for it is "HSALNT0248991". The record is from RNAcentral. Lineage: Eukaryota; Metazoa; Chordata; Mammalia; Primates; Hominidae.